ACGUAGGGUGCGAGCGUUAAUCGGAAUUACUGGGCGUAAAGCGUGCGCAGGCGGUUGUAUAAGUCAGAUGUGAAAUCCCCGGGCUCAACCUGGGAACUGCCUUUGAGACUGCACGGCUAGAGUUUGGCAGAGGGGGGUGGAAUUCCACGUGUAGCAGUGAAAUGCGUAGAGAUGUGGAGGAACACCGAUGGCGAAGGCAGCCCCCUGGGCCAGUACUGACGCUCAUGCGCGAAAGCGUGGGGAGCAAACAG
Molecule: ribosomal RNA, 251 nt
Filed under: uncultured prokaryote
Description: partial 16S rRNA
Rfam family: Bacterial small subunit ribosomal RNA
Source: RNAcentral